GCGGAUGCGAUCGUCGGCGCCGGCGGUGUCGUUGCGUCGUUGCACAAAGCGCGCGCCAUUACCGCGAGUCUACCGGACCGCACUCGCAUGGCGUGAUUGCGACUUUUUUACGUCAGAAUUCUGUCCACUGCCGGGCACAGAAGGGGGAUAGGAAAAAAUUUAAAUUGGCACUAUGCGCGGAGAAUCAGAAAAAAUCUAGAAAAAUGCCGUUGCCCAAAAACGGUAGCGCUAAUUAGCCUUUUUCACAGCAACAGCGGCAGCGGCAUCGAGGGACCGGCACCGACGAGGUCGCCUUCGAUGUCAAGUAGGAAUGUCUUUCGGCAAGGCAGAUUCCAGGCACGUGAUUGCGCAACCAGAUCAGCGGCUCUGUGCGGCUCUGCCGGCCGGCCACGCGAUCCAGUGCAGGUUGCACGAGAUCUGUCCCGUAGCGCGCACAAAGCAUGACGAUCUUUUCGGUGGCCGAAUCAAGAGCGCUGACUAUGGUCUCUACGUCGCAUAUGCCGCCGCGGUCGGCCACCGCCCGCACAGACGCAAGGCCGCCGUGACGUACAGCAAGAGUGAGCGCAUCAUACUCAUUAAAGAGCGCUGCACCAGCGUCGUGAAUAACCACGGCCGCGUUGAUGUGGUUGGCUACGAGGGCGCACCGCGCCACUCCGACCGUGAUCCCGUUACGUGCCACGGGAUGUUGAAGCAUCCACCGGAUGACUUUGCUGCACCCAGACAAGGCGGCAGCGUAGGCGAUGGCCUGACCAUCCCACGAAGGAAUCGGGUCUCUUUUAUCCUGUCUUUGGCUGGCGCCGUUGCUACCGUCGCCGACGGCCCACGACAGGAACUCAACCAUGCCGGCCUUACUCGCCGCGACGAGCACCUCGACCGCGCACGAGGUGAUCCAAAAGCGCAUCCGAUCGAGCGCAUGAUGACGAUCCACACAAGCGGCCUUGACCAUCGAUGCAUUGGAAACACGGGAAAACGCGGCCGGAUUGACCUUGCCGAUCCAGUCAAUGACGCGGGCCUGGUCUCUAUCGAGAGCCUCCUCGAUUGUGCGCCUGCUGGGUGUCGGCACAGCGGUGCAGCCCAUGGUCGACAGGGUGCAGAGAAUGUCGACGUGCCCGUGGCGUACGGCAGCCAGCCCGAGCGAGCGGGCACAACCGCAGCGCCUGCCGCGUGCUCUGCGGGUCUUUUCCUCGUGGAGGCGCUCGAUGAUGCGCAUUCUGCCCCUACAGGCAGCCCUCAUUGCCAUGCGGUCCAUGCUCACCGCAGCGCGUCCGAACCGAUCGAAUGGGCAGUUGGCGAGCAGCCACAUCAAGAGAUCGGCAUUGUCGGAGUCGAGAGCGCACUGUACCGCCUUUUUCAUUGACUUGUACUCGCCGCCCCAGAUGCCACGCCGCGGCUCUGCGUGGCCAAACAAAAAGCGCACAACGUCGAGCCGGCCACCCCUGGCGGCCUCGUGCACAUUGUCCCACGUCGGCGGUAUGUCCCACGUUGUCUGUGCAACCCAGACGUGGUGUAGGUGGGCGACCACGUCGAGAGGCGCACCGCAAGCGACGACACCCCAAAACCGUCCGCUCCGCAACCACUUUUCAAUCAAUUGGGGUGUCGGUCCCGAUGACAAGAGAGGCGACGCUUGGGCGCACGCGACCACAUGGCGAGGGCAGCGCAGAAACGAUACGAUGUGAACAAGAAUCUCGACGGGCAGGUCGGGUAUGGCAGGCAGACUGUCGUCUUUGGUGCCGUUCAUGUCGGCAGUGCCCCUAGGCAGAUGCAAAAAGUAUUGACGAGUCCCC
RNAcentral lists this long non-coding RNA (1784 nucleotides) under Pandoravirus neocaledonia. RNAcentral describes it as "hypothetical ncRNA". The record is from RNAcentral.